CCUUCGAUAGCUCAGUUGGAAGAGCGUGGGACUGUAACGGUUACAUGUCCAUCCCGAGGUCGCUGGUUCGAACCCGGCUCGAAGGA
Molecule: transfer RNA, 86 nt
Filed under: Auriscalpium vulgare
Lineage: Eukaryota; Fungi; Basidiomycota; Agaricomycetes; Russulales; Auriscalpiaceae
Description: tRNA-Tyr
Rfam family: tRNA
About the family: Transfer RNA (tRNA) molecules are approximately 80 nucleotides in length. Their secondary structure includes four short double-helical elements and three loops (D, anti-codon, and T loops).
Source: RNAcentral